GAUGAAGAACGUAGUGAAAUGCGAUAAGUAGUGUGAAUUGCAGAAUUCCGUGAAUCAUCGAAUCUUUGAACGCACAUUGCGCCCCCUGGCAUUCCGGGGGGCAUGCCUGUCCGAGCGUCAUUUCUGCCCUCCAGCCCGGCUGGGUGUUGGGCGCUGUCCCCCCGGGGACACGCCCCAAAGGCAGUGGCGGCGCCGCGUCGGGUCCUCGAGCGUAUGGGGCUUUGUCACCCGCUCGGGACGGACUCGUCGGCGCUGGUCUUCCUCCAGGCGACCCUUCGGGGCUCGUCUUCCUUCGGUUGACUUCGGAUCAGGUAGGGUUACCCGCUGAACUUAAGCAUAUCAAUAAGCGGAGGA
This 354-nucleotide unclassified non-coding RNA is filed under the name soil metagenome. RNAcentral describes it as "partial contains 5.8S ribosomal RNA, internal transcribed spacer 2, and large subunit ribosomal RNA". The stretch from base 1 to 120 matches the Rfam family "5.8S ribosomal RNA", at positions 35 to 154 of the family's 154-position model. The record is from RNAcentral.